GGGGACAGGGUAGGCAGCAACAGCAUCUGUCUUAGAUUUGUCAACUUCGACUCCGUCUUUAGAUACCACAUGGCCUAGAUAAUGAACCUUACCUUGAGCAAAGGAACACUUGCUUGGUUUGAGUGUUAGCUGUGCCUGCCUAAGCCUAUCAAAAAUUUCUUAAAGAUCAGAAUUGCCUAAGUCAAAGGUAAUAGGAUCAGAUGUCUGUGUAGCCGAGGAAGAUGGGGAGGAAUUUGUGGCAUCUACAGGUGUGUCAAGGGACAUGACAAAGUUUUCAGCAAUGACGGAUGCAAAACCUAUCACAGUUUCAGGUGAAAGUGUGACUUGUUCUUCAGAGGGAUUCAUGACCUGGACAACGCAAGUCUGAUUUGACCGAAUGACUGAAACACACUUAGCUCCUACUAGUCCUAUUGAAGGUAGUUGGUGAACGGGUUCAAAAAGUAUGUUUGAGUUUGGUGGUAGGUCUUGUACCGUAACUGUAAUAUUGUUUAUCGACAUUGGGGGAAGAUUGUAGUGAUAUGUGGUUUGAGCCAAAGACACCUCAGUGUGAAUAGAAAGAAUUUGAUUCGUUUCGGGAUUUUUCAAAAAUAAAGUUUUCCUUUUUAUGUCAAUAA
Ylistrum balloti is the source of this 614-nucleotide long non-coding RNA. RefSeq lists it as uncharacterized. Lineage: Eukaryota; Metazoa; Mollusca; Bivalvia; Pectinida; Pectinidae. The transcript has 2 exons. The record is from RefSeq and is a predicted model, not a curated record.